RNAcentral lists this transfer RNA (70 nucleotides) under Orchesella cincta. It matches the Rfam family "tRNA". Rfam says of the family: Transfer RNA (tRNA) molecules are approximately 80 nucleotides in length. Their secondary structure includes four short double-helical elements and three loops (D, anti-codon, and T loops). Further hydrogen bonds mediate the characteristic L-shaped molecular structure. tRNAs have two regions of fundamental functional importance: the anti-codon, which is responsible for specific mRNA codon recognition, and the 3' end, to which the tRNAs corresponding amino acid is attached (by aminoacyl-tRNA synthetases). tRNAs cope with the degeneracy of the genetic code in two manners: having more than one tRNA (with a specific anti-codon) for a particular amino acid; and 'wobble' base-pairing, i.e. permitting non-standard base-pairing at the 3rd anti-codon position. The record is from Rfam by way of RNAcentral. Lineage: Eukaryota; Metazoa; Arthropoda; Collembola; Entomobryomorpha; Orchesellidae.
GGCCUAAUGGUCUAGGGGUAUGAUUUUCGCUUUGGGCGAGAGGUCCCGGGUUCAAAUCCCGGUUGGGCCC